Musa acuminata AAA Group (dessert banana) is the source of this 2264-nucleotide RNA transcript. It is a transcript of the gene named UDP-glucuronate 4-epimerase 3-like, with no coding region annotated. The record is from RefSeq and is a predicted model, not a curated record. NCBI's taxonomy places the organism in Eukaryota, Viridiplantae, Streptophyta, Magnoliopsida, Zingiberales, Musaceae. The transcript has 2 exons.
UUCAUUCUCAUUCUCCCUCCUCACGACUCAACAAGUGGCGUCCAUCGCCGUGCGACGCUCGCUCUCUCUCUCUCCUCGUCGGUGAUAUCCGCGUCCAACAAAAUCCGCAACGGAGUCCUCCAGAAAAGGCGUCCGCAUCCCUAUUUAUUACGAACCCCCGUGACCCUGGCGACUUUGACUUCUCUGCGACCUCACAUUCGCUCGCCGAUCCUCCCUCCCUAACUGCACCGACGCCGGCUUUGCCACAAUCCCAAGCCAGCCGUCGAGACAGUGAGGCCGGUAAGAGGGGCGAGUCUAAUCAUCACCUUCCGAAUCUUGGCUUUCACUGAGACCAGUGGAGGAGGGAGGAGGGAGGAGGAGGAGGAGGAAGAGAGAGAAGCCGUUGUCCUGUUCGCUAGGGAGAUUUGUAGUGAAUUAGUAGGGGGUGGCGUGGGGACGACAGCUUGUUGGAUGCUUCUGCUCUCAUCUUUAUCUUUUUCCGUUUAGAAUCAAUCUACUUCUCCGUUUUCAAGCCCAUUAGUCGAUUUGGUUCUUGGAAGCCAAGGCGUAGGCGUUGGAUCCAAAUCUCUCGUCUUAUUCUUCAUUCUUCUCCACUUCGCCAUCCGAUAACCAAGGGUAGAAUCGAAGUGUGAUGAUGGAUAGCCUGCCGGCCACCCCGGGCAAGUUCAAGAUGGACAAGCCCCAGUAUCACUAUCACCACCACCACCACCCGCGUCAGCUCACCGUCCGGUGGCAACACUACCCGCUCGUCUCCAAGGUCGCAGUCUGGUCUUUCCUCGCCAUCGCCCUCCUAGUCGCCUUCUUCUUCCUCUCACCCACCACCCCCAACUCCUCCUCCACCUCUGGGCGUCGCUCCCUCCGUAACGCCGCCCCGUGGGGCGGCCCCGCCUGGGAGAAGUGCGUGCGCUCCUCCGCCCGCGUCCGCCGCUCCGGCGGCAUCUCCGUCCUCGUCACUGGCGCCGCCGGCUUCGUGGGUACCCACGUCUCUACCGCGCUCAAGCGCCGCGGCGACGGCGUCCUUGGGCUCGACAACUUCAACGACUACUACGACCCCUCCCUCAAGCGCGCCCGCCAGGCCCUCCUCGACCGCGCGGGUGUCUUCGUCGUCGAGGGCGACGUCAACGACGGCCCUCUCCUCCACAAGCUGUUCGACGUGGUGCCCUUCACCCAUGUGAUGCACCUGGCCGCGCAGGCCGGCGUCCGUUACGCCAUGACCAAUCCGUCCUCCUACGUCCACUCCAAUGUCGCCGGGCUCGUGUCGGUGCUCGAGGUCGCCAAGUCAGCGGACCCGCAGCCCGCCGUUGUUUGGGCUUCGUCGUCUUCCGUCUACGGCCUCAACUCCCACGUGCCCUUCUCGGAGGUUGACCGCACUGACCGGCCGGCCUCCCUCUACGCCGCCACCAAGAAGGCAGGCGAGGAAAUCGCCCAUGUCUACAACCACAUUUAUGGACUCGCCAUCACCGGCCUCCGCUUCUUCACUGUCUACGGCCCCUGGGGGCGCCCCGACAUGGCCUACUUCUUCUUCACGAGAGACAUCCUCCGCAGCAAGCCGAUUUCCAUCUUUGAAGGCCCAGGUCAUGCCACCGUUGCCCGUGAUUUUACCUACAUUGAUGACAUCGUGAGCGGUUGUCUUGCGGCUCUCGACAAUGCUGGGAAGAGCACCGGUAGCGGCGGCAAGAAGCGGGGGUCUGCGCCGCUCCGCGUCUACAACCUCGGCAAUACGUCCCCAGUCCCCGUGUCUCAUCUCGUGUCUAUCCUGGAGCAACUCUUAAAGGUCAAGGCCGUCCGCAAUGUCGUCAAAAUGCCACGGAAUGGGGAUGUACAGUUUACUCAUGCCAACAUCAGCCUUGCGCAGCGGGAGCUCGGGUAUCAUCCGACCACCGGUCUGAACACUGGCCUCAAGAAGUUCGUCCGGUGGUACCUUGGGUACUACCCUACUUCCUCGAGUAAAAAGGGAUCAAGAGGUGGCAGCAGCAGUGCUCUCUAGCCAGGGAAGGAUGUUGGUGGCAGUUGGUGAUAUUUUCUGCUACUUCCUCAGAUCAUUCAGUCAGAUUCCAAGGCAAGCUAUCAGUCAGAAUUUUCCACUGUGUCCAUCUUUUCUCAUACAAGUCUACUUCAAUACAAGUCACUUUAAGAGCUUGAUAGCUGAAUAAUUUAUGGAUAUCAGAUCAUUCAGUCAGAUUCCAAGUUAAGCUAUCAGUCAGAAUUUUCCACUGUGUCCAUCUUUUCUCAUACAAGUCUACUUCAAGACAAGUCACUUUAAG